Molecule: long non-coding RNA, 1163 nt
Organism: Vitis riparia (riverbank grape)
Lineage: Eukaryota; Viridiplantae; Streptophyta; Magnoliopsida; Vitales; Vitaceae
Exons: 4
Source: RefSeq, a predicted model, not a curated record
CGCUGCGGCGGGCUCUUCAAACUCUGUAUAAUAAGAAGACCCGAGGAUAAAUCGCCGCGGUGUGUAAGGCUAUGCACUGCAGCAGUCACCCCCAAUUGAAUUAACUUAUAAAAAUUAGGGUUUUGUGUCACGGCAGAAAGACUUGAGUGCCGUUGCGCGAUAAAGAUUUGGCAAGACUGAAGAUUCAUUUGGUGUAAUUUUGGAAGAGAAGUCGUAGAUUCAAUCAUUUUUCUUGUUGGUCGUGAUUUGGGGUGAUUGUUUCUACCUUUUUGCUACAAUUUGUGGGGUCUAAUAUGGACAGAAUGAGGAGUCUUUAACUCCUAUGUCGGCAAUAAUGGAUAACAAGGUGCAAGCAAUGAAGGGAAAUGACAGAAUGAGGCUGGGUGUUCAGGGUUCACAAACAAAGCAAUAGUCUUCUUCUUCAAGGCCCCUUACUAUGGCCGAGUGUAUGGAAAGAUUAAAGGGCCAGGUUACUCAUAAGGUCUCAAAUAGCCAAGAGUACGAAAAUGGAGCAAUAUGAGGCAAAAUUGGAAGAAAAAUAUGAAGUUUAGUGAAAAUGUGAAAACCGCCACGACAGGAGCUCUCAAGCGCUGUGGCGGCCUCUUACGUGACAAUUUGAGUAACUUACCCGAGAGGAAAGCGCUGUGGCGGGAAUGACUUAAGUGCUGUGGCGUGCACAUGUUGAAAAUCAUAGUUGGGGACCCGAGACAAAAUUGUCGCGGUAGGAGGAACAUCUCCGCUGCGGCGCUCGAAGGAAUUUCAGAAAUCCUCAGGACCCGAGACUAAAACGCUGCGAUGGGAGGCAUUGAGUGCCACGACGCGAUAUUUAAAAUUUGAAAAUUAUUUGUCCUUAUCUCAUUUUGUUCAAAUCUGAAUUAGGUAGGACAUGAGUUUGUGAUACAUGGGCUAUAAAUAGACGAAAGUAGGGUUUAUUUCGGAGGGAGGAGAGACCUGGGAGAAGAGAGAGCUUAGAGAACAAGAAGGGGAUUUACAGAUUUCCUUCUACUUUUCUAGUUUAUUCUUCUCUUUUCUUUAUGAUUGUAAUUCAGGAUGUUUGUUCUUCAUCUUAAUAUGAGCUAAUUUCCUUUGUUUAGGGAUGAGAUGUAGCUCAAUCAUGAUUUAUGUUUUUGAUUAGUUUAAUUUAAUUCUCUGUUUUGCAUCAA